This is a non-coding RNA of Drosophila melanogaster (fruit fly), 582 nucleotides long. The record is from Ensembl. Lineage: Eukaryota; Metazoa; Arthropoda; Insecta; Diptera; Drosophilidae.
AUAUAUAUAUAUAUGUAACAUCGCCACUGCAUUGAGCCAAAAAGUGGAAAGAAAAGCAAUUAGACUGGUGCAUUAGUUAUCCCGUAUCCACUCGGUAAUCGCUCUCAUCAAAUACUCGUGAUCGUGGUCGUGGUGUGCGUUCAGAUUUUGCUAUUCAGUUGGCUGCACCCCCUACUUCUUGGUCAUGAUCUUCAAGUACUCGAGGGCAUUCUGGGCGGCAUGCCGCUGGGCAUCGGCAGCUGUUGGUCCGCUGCCGUGGCAAACGCCAACGGGCAGCGUGGACAGUUGAACCAGGCACUGGAACUGGCCAGAGAAGGUCUUCUCCUCUAUGUCCACAUAGGUCACCUCGAACUGGUUCUCCGUGGCGAUUUCGCCCAGCAGCUUGAUGUAAUCAAUCUUGUUGUUCUUCAAGCAAGUCUUCUGAAAAAAAUACAAAUGGAGUCGAAUUAGCAGAGUCAAAUUAAACUUUGAACUUUCAAGCAAGAACACUAUUAUUAUAAGGAUUGUGAGGGGUUAAGGCAAAUAUGUACUUUCGAAAGCAGGUUUUGAAUGUUGGAAAUAUGUUUGUGAUCGUUUUUGAAU